ACAAUUUAAGGAUGCAUGCAUACUUCCUAUUAUGAUUAUAAUUAACCACACUUUUCAAUAUUUGGAUGUUAAUUCUUUGUUUAGAAUGGUUAGGACAAAUUUAGACUUUUUUGGUUAGGCUGUGAUGGCGUUAAUUAGCACAUGAUCGAGUUAGGUACCAAAAGGGCAUUAGUCUUAGGGCUAACGCAAUCAAGUAGCCGAGUCUUGAAUUUCUGGUUGUGUAAAUAUUAAUAUUCUCCCAUAUCUUAUUGCUUUCUAGCCUAACGAAAAAGGUUAGUGGCGACUUAUUUAUUAAAAUUUUCAUAGGCUUAAUUCAUUAAAAUUUUGAAGGCACGAGAUAUGGGCUUCGGAAAGUCCAAGUCAAUGGAUGGCCGUCAGCCUGAGGUCAACAAUACCCUUAAACCUAAUAGGCUCCCUUCCCAUGAGAGGGUUAGGUCGUAAUAGCUUGGUGACUUUGCUGGGAUUGAACCUAAAUCUCUGGUUGUGUGAAUAAUAAUAUUCUCCCGUAUCUUAUUGGAUUUCUAGCUUACCCAAAAAGGCUGGUGGCAACUUCUUUAUUAAAAUGUUCAUAGGCUUAAUUGAUUAAACAAUUAAAAUUUUGAACACUUGAUUUCGCAAGAGAUAUAAAUAGGGGUGAGCGGUUCCAGCUUCCGUAUAAGUUCCACCUGGACCUAUCCAUUGGAACAGUUUCUUCAUUUUUUUGAACCUAUAACCCACCCUUCAUACCCUAGAAUUUAGAAGCUAUCUUAUCACAGGUUCUAAGGUCUAGUCAGGUUUCAUCUAUAUUAUAGAUUGAAAGAUUGUAGUGAAUUAAGACCUUUAAUGACCGCACUUCCUGUUACAAUUCAUUAACUAUAAAGACAUAUAAAAAAUAUAAAUAUUAAUAAAGUAAAAGUCAGUCAUAAAAUGGAACUUCAGACUAGUAAUUCUAGAUUAUACACUAAUCAUCAAACGACAUGGAAUAUUAUAAGAUUGAGCAAAGACAUGAACAAAAAAAAAUCAUUAAAAAUUGUUACAGGUUUGAGGUUCCAAGUUCUUCCAACUAAGAACCUGAAACCUAUCCGCUGAAACAGGUUUUUCAUUUUUUGGAACCUAGAGCUUACUCUGCAGACCUUGAAAUCUAGAAUUUAUAGGUUCCCAUUGGUCCGGUUCUCAAGUUCUAGGUUCUAUCCUAGAACUAUGCUCACCCCUAGAUAUAGGCUUGAGAGAGUCCCAGUCAAUGGAUGGCCAUUGGCCUGAAGCUGGCAAUACCCCUAAACUUAACAAGGUCCCACCCCAAAAGAGGGGUUAGGUCGUGACAAACUUUUAAGAGCUUUGUCCUGCGGGGGAAUGAAGAUAAUAUAAAUAAUUAGAUUAACAUUUUAAUGGAGUUGCUGAUCUCUUACUAAGAAUUGUUGAUACUUUUUUUCUAGGUGAUUUAUAUCCGUGGGAAAAACAAGACGCAUGAUCACAUUUGUGGGUUCAUGCACAGUGCAAAUAAGCUGUGAGUUAGAAGAGAAGCCUGAAAAAGUACGCAAUGGUGACAAGUUAUGUUCUAAUUUGGAGGCUGAACUGAUCAGCCUCAAGAAGAGACACGUGAAAGCAUCAGGGAAGCAUGAAUGAUCUCAUGGAGGUAUAUUUGGAACUUGAAAAGAAAGAGCCUCCCUUGAAAUACUAUUUUUCUAGGGUCCGGAAAAAAGAAACCUGGAUGCAUACGAUGCUAGGGCAUAGUACAUGCCUAAAUGAUUUGGGGCCUCGAAAUCUAGUUGUCUUCCAACCGAGAACUUAAGGUCAAAGAAAGAGAAGGAUGAAGAGAUUCAUGAGUUGAAGAAAUCUAGUUGUCUUCCAUCCGAGAACUUAAGGUCAGAGAAUGAGAAAGAUGAAGAGAUUCAUAAGUUGAAGGAAAUACUGAAAGCAACGAAAGAGCAAUUACAAAAGACAAAUGGAGAUGUACAAAAGUUAGAGGCUCAAAGAGAUGUCUACUAUUAAACAGUAUCGCCAGCAUAAAGCAGCCUUGAAAUGGUCUCCGCAGGAUCUGGACGAGGUAAAUAUGUCACAAGCCUUGAGGUGUGACUAUUUUCAUUGGAUGUUAAAAUAGUGAAAGCUGUUUUACUUACUAAAUACUGAGUGACCUGGAUUUUGGACACUAAGGUGGUUUUAAAGGGAAUAUCGAUGGAUAGACUUGAAACAUGAGUUUAUAAGGAUUGGUUCAA
Molecule: long non-coding RNA, 2192 nt
Organism: Eucalyptus grandis
Lineage: Eukaryota; Viridiplantae; Streptophyta; Magnoliopsida; Myrtales; Myrtaceae
Exons: 2
Source: RefSeq, a predicted model, not a curated record